AGAAAACAAUGUGAAUAUGUCAAUCAUGUCAAGACUACCAAAAAAGAACUUACUUGUACUUGGUGCACGUAGCAUGGAGAGUAUAUCUCCCUAGAGUACAUCUCUCCUACCUGAAUUUUACUUCGAGCAUUCAGCUAAUCGAACAAAAAGUUAAGUGCAUUGUUACUCUGAUAACGUUAACACAAUAUGCUGUCGCUCUUCUGUCUCUCAUUCCAUGCUAUUUGAAGGAAGGCACUAAGAUGGUAUAAAUGCAAAAUAUCAAAGAGGGAUCAGUUUUGAGUCAGUUUCCCAAUCUGGAGUUUCUCCUCAAAUGGAUUUCAGCUGCCCAGCUUUUCCCUAUUUCUGUUUGAAACUUUCCUGCAGUUGAAAGGAAAAACUCA
RNAcentral lists this unclassified non-coding RNA (380 nucleotides) under Hevea brasiliensis (rubber tree). The record is from RNAcentral. Lineage: Eukaryota; Viridiplantae; Streptophyta; Magnoliopsida; Malpighiales; Euphorbiaceae.